ACUGAGACACGGCCCAGACUCCUACGGGAGGCAGCAGUGGGGAAUAUUGCACAAUGGGGGAAACCCUGAUGCAGCGACGCCGCGUGAGUGAAGAAGUAUUUCGGUAUGUAAAGCUCUAUCAGCAGGGAAGAGAAUGACGGUACCUGAGUAAGAAGCCCCGGCUAACUACGUGCCAGCAGCCGCGGUAAUACGUAGGGGGCAAGCGUUAUCCGGAUUUACUGGGUGUAAAGGGAGCGUAGACGGCGAAGAAAGUCUGAAGUGAAAGCCCGCGGCUCAACCGCGGAACUGCUUUGGAAACUUUUUUGCUGGAGUACCGGAGAGGUAAGCGGAAUUCCUAGUGUAGCGGUGAAAUGCGUAGAUAUUAGGAGGAACACCAGUGGCGAAGGCGGCUUACUGGACGGUAACUGACGUUGAGGCUCGAAAGCGUGGGGAGCAAACAGGAUUAGAUACCCUGGUAGUCCACGCGGUAAACGAUGAAUGCUAGGUGUUGGUGGACAAAGUCCAUCG
Molecule: ribosomal RNA, 507 nt
Filed under: uncultured bacterium
Lineage: Bacteria
Description: bacterial SSU rRNA
Rfam family: Bacterial small subunit ribosomal RNA
Source: RNAcentral